RNAcentral lists this ribosomal RNA (434 nucleotides) under uncultured bacterium. RNAcentral's name for it is "partial 16S ribosomal RNA". It matches the Rfam family "Bacterial small subunit ribosomal RNA", at positions 29 to 507 of the family's 1533-position model. The record is from RNAcentral.
AGCGAACGCUGGCGGCAGGCCUAACACAUGCAAGUCGAACGAACCUUUCGGGGUUAGUGGCGGACGGGUGAGUAACACGUGGGAACGUGCCUUUAGGUUCGGAAUAACUCAGGGAAACUUGUGCUAAUACCGAAUGUGCCCUUCGUGGGAAAGAUUUAUCGCCUUUAGAGCGGCCCGCGUCUGAUUAGCUAGUUGGUUGAGGUAAUGGCUCACCAAGGCGACGAUCAGUAGCUGGUCUGAGAGGAUGAUCAGCCACAUUGGGACUGAGACACGGCCCAAACUCCUACGGGAGGCAGCAGUGGGGAAUCUUGCGCAAUGGGCGAAAGCCUGACGCAGCCAUGCCGCGUGAAUGAUGAAGGUCUUAGGAUUGUAAAAUUCUUUCACCGGGGACGAUAAUGACGGUACCCGGAGAAGAAGCCCCGGCUAACUUCGUG